Molecule: long non-coding RNA, 918 nt
Organism: Passer domesticus (house sparrow)
Lineage: Eukaryota; Metazoa; Chordata; Aves; Passeriformes; Passeridae
Exons: 3
Source: RefSeq, a predicted model, not a curated record
CAUUGUGACAGCAAAGGAACCACAAGCACAUUCAUGGAAUCAUGGAAUCACAGAAUGGUCUGGGCUGGAAAGGACCCUAAAAAACAUCUGGUUCCAAACAUCUGCAGUGGGCAGGGACACUUUCCACUGGCCAGCUUCCACCAGCAACAUUCCUUCUGUUUUGCUUUCCCUACCAAGGCACCUCUACCAUACAACAAGCCAGCUCUGGGCAGAGGAUCUUCCUAAACUACUUCUAAUUCUACUGUAAUUGAGUGGAAAAUGAAGCAAGCUGUUCUGAGCUGUUCUGAUAUUUAAAUGCAUCUCCAGCUGAAAUGCCUAAGGAAAGUCAGGCCAUGGUGCUGGUUUGUACCUGAGCUUCUGAGUGAGUUUUGCCCAGAAAACAGAGCUUCUGCCAGCCCCAUCCCACCACAGGGGUGACAAUCAUCUCAACACCUCCCUCACAUGGAGCACAGGAGCUCUGUGACUCUGCCAAACUUGGAGACAACCAUGAACUCCAUGGUGAUUUAUACCCAGAGAACACUGCCAAGGACAACUUGCAGGGACCAAUUUCAUUCUGUUCAGUGACAAGAUAACCAACCUUACCCAAACCAGGAGAAAGGCUCACAUGUGAUAUAUCUUGAGUACAGCCCUGGCCAGAGUCCCACACAAAAUCUUCAGGAGAAACUGAGGGGAAAAUGGUCUAAAUGAAGUCACAGACAAAUUAAGCACUGACCCAGCAGUCCCUUGAGCUCACCUGGAAGCAAUGCACUGCUGGAAUAUGAAAUUAACCUUACCUUUUCAGAGCUGGCAUUUAACGUCCAGGUUACAGUAAGGUUAAUAAAAGCAGUGUUAAAAAUUUCCUGUCUUGUGGCAUUUUAAUCCAAGCUAUUUAAAUCCCCUGACCUAUAUGCCUCCUUGUGUAAAGCAGGUUUUGUUCAU